CUCCGUCAAUCGCUGCUUCCUAGUACUGGCGAAUACCAUAAGCACUGCACUGGAACACCAUAACGACUGUAAACCCCACGAACUGCCGCAGGUUGGUUGGGGUCUUGCCGUCCUCCACCCACUCUUGACCCAAGACCAAGAUCCAGCUCCCAAUGGGUAGGCCUCUCCUAGUCCAGAGAGCGUAGCGUGAAUAGCUCUUAGAAG
Pelobates cultripes (western spadefoot toad) is the source of this 204-nucleotide non-coding RNA. NCBI's taxonomy places the organism in Eukaryota, Metazoa, Chordata, Amphibia, Anura, Pelobatidae. The record is from the annotation of a GenBank genome assembly.